GAUUCUGGGUGGUGUGGACACAGCGUAAUGCCAAGCCUCGAAUCCGAACAUAACAGUCGAUCUGCCAAAGUGUUAGCGCGAAUGCAGUUCGUGCUAUUGGUGCCCAAGAUGACAUAGAUGCUGUCAAGGAUGGAGGACAUUCCUUAAACGAUGACCGGCUUACCGGUGUUUAACCUCAAGGAAGGUUCUUGGCGAGCAGAAGGUGUCGUGAAACGAUUUCCGAGCUAAUCAGUGCUUUUCUGUGCCACGAAUAGCUUUAGUUCUGCUCUAAUAGUGAUACAUGAUAUAAUAAAAUACAUAAAAAGUAACAAAAAUACAA
This is a long non-coding RNA of Anopheles aquasalis, 319 nucleotides long. RefSeq lists it as uncharacterized. NCBI's taxonomy places the organism in Eukaryota, Metazoa, Arthropoda, Insecta, Diptera, Culicidae. The record is from RefSeq and is a predicted model, not a curated record.